UGGGGAAUUUUGGACAAUGGGCGAAAGCCUGAUCCAGCAAUGCCGCGUGUGUGAAGAAGGCCUUCGGGUUGUAAAGCACUUUUGUCCGGAAAGAAAUCCUUGGCUCUAAUACAGUCGGGGGAUGACGGUACCGGAAGAAUAAGCACCGGCUAACUACGUGCCAGCAGCCGCGGUAAUACGUAGGGUGCAAGCGUUAAUCGGAAUUACUGGGCGUAAAGCGUGCGCAGGCGGUUUGCUAAGACCGAUGUGAAAUCCCCGGGCUCAACCUGGGAACUGCAUUGGUGACUGGGCAGGCUAGAGUAUGGCAGAGGGGGGUAGAAUUCCACGUGUAGCAGUGAAAUGCGUAGAGAUGUGGAGGAAUACCGAUGGCGAAGGCAGCCCCCUGGGCCAAAUACUGACGCUCAUGCACGAAAAGCGUGGGGGAGCAAAACAGGAUUAGAUAACCCCUGGUAGUCCACGCCCUAAAACGAUGUCAACUAGUUGUUGGGGAUUCAUUUCCUUAGUAACGUAGCUAAACGCGUGAAGUUGACCGCCUGGGGAGUACGGUCGCAAGAUUAAAACUCAAAUGAAUUGACGGGGUCAUAGCUGA
This 589-nucleotide ribosomal RNA is filed under the name uncultured bacterium. Its description in RNAcentral is "partial 16S ribosomal RNA". It matches the Rfam family "Bacterial small subunit ribosomal RNA", at positions 355 to 928 of the family's 1533-position model. The record is from RNAcentral.